RNAcentral lists this ribosomal RNA (421 nucleotides) under uncultured bacterium. RNAcentral describes it as "partial 16S ribosomal RNA". It matches the Rfam family "Bacterial small subunit ribosomal RNA", at positions 355 to 767 of the family's 1533-position model. The record is from RNAcentral.
UAGGGAAUCUUCCACAAUGGACGCAAGUCUGAUGGAGCAACGCCGCGUGAGUGAAGAAGGCUUUCGGGUCGUAAAACUCUGUUAUUGAAGAAGAACGUGUGUGACAGUAACUGGUCAUGCAGUGACGGUAUUCAAUCAGAAAGUCACGGCUAACUACGUGCCAGCAGCCGGCGGUAAUACGUAGGUGGCAAGCGUUGUCCGGAUUUAUUGGGCGUAAAGCGAGUGCAGGCGGUCUUUUAAGUCUGAUGUGAAAGCCUUCGGCUUAACCGAAGAAGGGCAUCGGAAACUGGGAGACUUGAGUGCAGAAGAGGAGAGUGGAACUCCAUGUGUAGCGGUGAAAUGCGUAGAUAUAUGGAAGAACACCAGUGGCGAAGGCGGCUCUCUGGUCUGUAACUGACGCUGAGGCUCGAAAGCGUGGGUA